This 253-nucleotide ribosomal RNA is filed under the name uncultured bacterium. RNAcentral describes it as "partial 16S ribosomal RNA". It matches the Rfam family "Bacterial small subunit ribosomal RNA", at positions 524 to 776 of the family's 1533-position model. The record is from RNAcentral.
UACGGAGGGUGCUAGCGUUGCUCGGAAUUACUGGGCGUAAAGCGCAUGUAGGCGGCUACAGAAGUUCGGUGUGAAAGCCCUAGGCUCAACCUAGGAAGUGCGCCGAAAACCAUGUGGCUAGAGAACCGGAGGGGAGUGAGGAAUUCCGAGUGUAGAGGUGAAAUUCGUAGAUAUUCGGAGGAACACCAGUGGCGAAGGCGUCACUCUGGACGGUUUCUGACGCUCAGAUGCGACAGCGUGGGUAGCAAACAGG